GGGUUGUGAGGUUAAGCGACUAAGCGUACACGGUGGAUGCCCUGGCAGUCAGAGGCGAUGAAGGGCGUGCUAAUCUGCGAUAAGCGCCGGUAAGGUGAUAUGAACCGUUAUAACCGGCGAUAUCCGAAUGGGGAAACCCAGUGUGAUUCGUCACACUAUCAUUAACUGAAUCCAUAGGUUAAUGAGGCGAACCGGGGGAACUGAAACAUCUAAGUACCCCGAGGAAAAGAAAUCAACCGAGAUUCCCCCAGUAGCGGCGAGCGAACGGGGAGGAGCCCAGAGCCUGAAUCAGCAUGUGUGUUAGUGGAAGCGUCUGGAAAGGCGCGCGAUACAGGGUGACAGCCCCGUACACAAAAGCGCAUGUGCUGUGAGCUCGAUGAGUAGGGCGGGACACGUGGUAUCCUGUCUGAAUAUGGGGGGACCAUCCUCCAAGGCUAAAUACUCCUGACUGACCGAUAGUGAACCAGUACCGUGAGGGAAAGGCGAAAAGAACCCCGGCGAGGGGAGUGAAAAAGAACCUGAAACCGUGUACGUACAAGCAGUGGGAGCACCUUUGGGUGUGACUGCGUACCUUUUGUAUAAUGGGUCAGCGACUUAUAUUCUGUAGCAAGGUUAACCGCAUAGGGGAGCCGGAGGGAAACCGAGUCUUAAUUGGGCGUUAAGUUGCAGGGUAUAGACCCGAAACCCGGUGAUCUAGCCAUGGGCAGGUUGAAGGUUGGGUAACACUAACUGGAGGACCGAACCGACUAAUGUUGAAAAAUUAGCGGAUGACCUGUGGCUGGGGGUGAAAGGCCAAUCAAACCGGGAGAUAGCUGGUUCUCCCCGAAAGCUAUUUAGGUAGCGCCUCGUGAAUUCAUCUCCGGGGGUAGAGCACUGUUUCGGCUAGGGGGCCAUCCCGGCUUACCAACCCGAUGCAAACUGCGAAUACCGGAGAAUGUUAUCACGGGAGACACACGGCGGGUGCUAACGUCCGUCGUGAAGAGGGAAACAACCCAGACCGCCAGCUAAGGUCCCAAAGUCAUGGUUAAGUGGGAAACGAUGUGGGAAGGCCCAGACAGCCAGGAUGUUGGCUUAGAAGCAGCCAUCAUUUAAAGAAAGCGUAAUAGCUCACUGGUCGAGUCGGCCUGCGCGGAAGAUGUAACGGGGCUAAACCAUGCACCGAAGCUGCGGCAGCGACGCUUAUGCGUUGUUGGGUAGGGGAGCGUUCUGUAAGCCUGCGAAGGUGGCCUGUGAGGGUUGCUGGAGGUAUCAGAAGUGCGAAUGCUGACAUAAGUAACGAUAAAGCGGGUGAAAAGCCCGCUCGCCGGAAGACCAAGGGUUCCUGUCCAACGUUAAUCGGGGCAGG
This 1345-nucleotide ribosomal RNA is filed under the name Salmonella enterica subsp. enterica serovar Braenderup. RNAcentral describes it as "bacterial LSU rRNA". It matches the Rfam family "Bacterial large subunit ribosomal RNA", at positions 1 to 1378 of the family's 2925-position model. The record is from RNAcentral. Lineage: Bacteria; Pseudomonadati; Pseudomonadota; Gammaproteobacteria; Enterobacterales; Enterobacteriaceae.